GAUGAACGCUGGCGGCGUGCCUAAUACAUGCAAGUCGAGCGAACAGAUCAGGAGCUUGCUCCUUUGACGUUAGCGGCGGACGGGUGAGUAACACGUGGGUAACCUACCUAUAAGACUGGAAUAACUCCGGGAAACCGGGGCUAAUGCCGGAUAACAUUUAGAACCGCAUGGUUCUAAGGUGAAAGAUGGUUUUGCUAUCACUUAUAGAUGGACCCGCGCCGUAUUAGCUGGUUGGUAAGGUAACGGCUUACCAAGGCAACGAGACGUAGCCGACCUGAGAGGGUGAUAGGCGACACUGGAACUGAAACACGGUCCAGACUCCUACGGGAGGCAGCAGUAGGGAAUCUUACGCAAUGGGCGAAAGUCUGACGGAGCAACGCCGCGCGAGUGAUGAAGGUCCUGGGAUCGUAAAACUCUGUUAUUAGGGAAGAACAAAUGUGUAAGUAACUGUGCACGUCUUGACGGUACUUAAUCAGAAAGCCACGGCUAACUACGUG
This 497-nucleotide ribosomal RNA is filed under the name uncultured bacterium. RNAcentral describes it as "partial 16S ribosomal RNA". It matches the Rfam family "Bacterial small subunit ribosomal RNA", at positions 28 to 507 of the family's 1533-position model. The record is from RNAcentral.